RNAcentral lists this ribosomal RNA (253 nucleotides) under uncultured bacterium. RNAcentral describes it as "partial 16S ribosomal RNA". It matches the Rfam family "Bacterial small subunit ribosomal RNA", at positions 524 to 776 of the family's 1533-position model. The record is from RNAcentral.
UACGUAGGUGGCAAGCGUUGUCCGGAAUCACUGGGCGUAAAGCGCGCGCAGGCGGCGAUCUACGUCUGGGGUGAAAGCCCGGAGCUCAACUCCGGGACUGCCUUGGAUACGGGAUCGCUUGAGGAUUGGAGAGGCAAGGGGAAUUCCACGUGUAGCGGUGAAAUGCGUAGAUAUGUGGAGGAACACCUGUGGCGAAGGCGCCUUGCUGGCCAAUUUCUGACGCUGAGGCGUGAAAGCGUGGGGAGCAAACAGG